RNAcentral lists this ribosomal RNA (481 nucleotides) under uncultured Pelotomaculum sp. RNAcentral's name for it is "bacterial SSU rRNA". It matches the Rfam family "Bacterial small subunit ribosomal RNA", at positions 903 to 1382 of the family's 1533-position model. The record is from RNAcentral. Lineage: Bacteria; Bacillati; Bacillota; Clostridia; Eubacteriales; Desulfotomaculaceae.
UACAAAGGAAUUGACGGGACCCGCACAAGCGUGGAGCAUGUGGUUAAUUCGACGCAACGCGAAGAACCUUACCAGGGCUUGACAUCCCCUGACCGCGUAUGAAAGUACGUUUUCACCCUCGGGUGACAGGGAGACAGGUGGUGCAUGGUUGUCGUCAGCUCGUGUCGUGAGAUGUUGGGUUAAGUCCCGCAACGAGCGCAACCCCUACGUUUAGUUGCUAACGCGUGAAGGCGAGCACUCUAGACGAACUGCCGUUGACAAAACGGAGGAAGGUGGGAUGACGUCAAAUCAUCAUGCCCCUUAUGUUCUGGGCUACACACGUGCUACAAUGGCCGGUACAGACGGACGCAAAGCCGCGAGGUGGAGCAAAUCCUAAAAAGCCGGUCUCAGUUCGGAUUGCAGGCUGCAAUUCGCCUGCAUGAAGUCGGAAUCGCUAGUAAUCGCAGGUCAGCAUACUGCGGUGAAUACGUUCCCGGGCCUU